RNAcentral lists this ribosomal RNA (305 nucleotides) under uncultured bacterium. RNAcentral's name for it is "bacterial SSU rRNA". It matches the Rfam family "Bacterial small subunit ribosomal RNA", at positions 333 to 633 of the family's 1533-position model. The record is from RNAcentral.
UACGGCCUACGGGACGCAGUAGGGAAUCUUCCACAAUGGGCGAAAGCCUGAUGGAGCAACGCCGCGUGGGUGAAGAAGGUCUUCGGAUCGUAAGACCCUGUUGUUAGAGAAGAAAGUGCGUGAGAGUAACUGUUCACGUUUCGACGGUAUCUAACCAGAAAGCCACGGCUAACUACGUGCCAGCAGCCGCGGUAAUACGUAGGUGGCAAGCGUUAUCCGGAUUUAUUGGGCGUAAAGGGAACGCAGGCGGUCUUUUAAGUCUGAUGUGAAAGCCUUCGGCUUAACCGGAGUAGUGCAUUGGAAAC